This 164-nucleotide ribosomal RNA is filed under the name Clusia studartiana. RNAcentral describes it as "5.8S ribosomal RNA". It matches the Rfam family "5.8S ribosomal RNA". From Rfam's summary of the family: 5.8S ribosomal RNA (5.8S rRNA) is a component of the large subunit of the eukaryotic ribosome. It is transcribed by RNA polymerase I as part of the 45S precursor that also contains 18S and 28S rRNA. Functionally, it is thought that 5.8S rRNA may be involved in ribosome translocation. The record is from RNAcentral. Lineage: Eukaryota; Viridiplantae; Streptophyta; Magnoliopsida; Malpighiales; Clusiaceae.
AAAACGACUCUCGGCAACGGAUAUCUCGGCUCUCGCAUCGAUGAWGAACGUAGCGAAAUGCGAUACUUGGUGUGAAUUGCAGAAUCCCGUGAACCAUCGAGUCUUUGAACGCAAGUUGCGCCCAAAGCCUUUUGGUUGAGGGCACGUCUGCCUGGGUGUCACAC